RNAcentral lists this long non-coding RNA (3465 nucleotides) under Sus scrofa (pig). Its description in RNAcentral is "lncRNA (ENSSSCG00005040283.1)". The record is from RNAcentral. Lineage: Eukaryota; Metazoa; Chordata; Mammalia; Artiodactyla; Suidae.
UUUUUUUUUUUUUUUUUUUUUUUUUGGUCUUUUUAGGGCCACACACACGGCAUAUGGAAGUUUUCAGGCUAUGCGUCAAAUUGGAGCUACAGCUGCUGGCCUACGCCAGCCACAGCAAAGUGGAAUCCAAGUUGCGUCUUCAGUCUACACCACAGCUCACAGCAAUGCCAGAUCCUUAACCCACUGAGUGAGGCCAGGGAUCAAAUCCACGUCCUCAUGGAUCCUAGCUGGGUUCUUAACACGGUGAGCCACAACGGGAACUCUUGGUUCUGCUUUAUUUAUUCCUCUUUUUAGGGCUGCACCCACGGCAUGUGGAAGUUCCCAGGCUAGGGGUUGAAUUGGAGCUACCGCUACCGGCCUAAACCACAGCCACAGCAAUGCCAGAUUCGAGCUGCAUCUGCGACCUACACCACAGCUCACCCCAACGCUGAAUCCUUAACUGAGUGAGGCCAGGGAUCAAACCUAUGUCCUCAUGGAUACUAGUCAGAUUCGUUUCCACUGAGCCACGAAAGGAACUCCCGGGUUCUGACUUUAAAUGAACUCACUGAAUCUGAAAACCCCUAAGGAGUGUCAUUAACCCCCUGUACAGAUAAGAAAACUGAGGCACUGAGGGGCAGUCACCCGCCCAAGGCCACAGUGCUAACAAGUGUCAGCUACCACGAUGCUCAUAUGCCAAAGGCCAGGGUGACUUUUCUGGAAGGACUCAAGCCAGCCCAGUCUGGAAACUUGUCUUGUGAGUGAGGAGAAAAGCCCUCAACGAACUGGCAAAUAGAUGUGAUGCUGAGGAGCACAGACAGGCCGAACUCUGUGUCACUCCCUCAGCACUUACUGGGGCUCCAGAGGCCCAGGCCUUGCCAGACUUGGGGUUACCAGGCCUGGUUUGGGGUGCAGGUAAAAAGUGGGCAAUCGUACCAUGGAAGUGGGGAAGCUGAACCCCAGGGUGAGUUACCCAGAAAGUAGGCAGGUUGGGGGGUGGGGUGGUCAGGCCCCAAAGGACCUCAUGGGGCAUCCCCAGGAGCCAGGACUUUGUCUGCAGAUGAAGGGAACCUUCUGGAAUGCUUUCAGCAGGGCAAGAGCAUGCUCAGAUGGGCUCCUCAGAGGAGCCUCACAGCCUGCAGAAGGGCAGGGAGACAGGAGACAGUGGCUGCCACUGCUUCAGUCUUUCAGGGAAAGGUCAGGGUCAAGGGCACAGAUCCUGGAGCCAAGCCACCUAGUUUGAACCCUGGCUCAGCUGCUUUUUCUGCUUGUCUUGGGCAAGUUACUUGGAUGCUUCUUUGGUUUUAUUUGUUUGUUUUUCUGUCAGUAUCCUCAUCUGAAAAACAGGCUUGUCUGACAGGGUGUGGUCAGGCUAACCAUACUCGGUGAAACCUGGAGAUAGUGCCUGGGACAACUAUGGAAGGUCAGCUUCUCUUAGCUGUUAAGAUGGUGGCGGGCUGGCAGUGAUGGGUAUGCACUGACAUCCAGACUACAAAUUCAAUUUAAUAGAUACAGGACUAUUCAGAUCCUCUAUUUCACUAAAAGUCAGUUUUACUAAGUUGCAUUCAUUUCACCUAAGCCAUUUGAUUACCAGAAUAAAAUUGUUUCUGCCCCAUCCUUUCAAUGUCCGUAGCACCUGCAGUGGAAUUCCCUUCUUCAUCCCUAACACUGGGAACCUGUGUUUUUUUCAAUCUAGGGUGUUCUCAAUUUUAUUGAUGUUUUCCAAGAAACACUUUUUGGCUUUGUUAGUUUUCACUAUUUAUUUCUUGUUCAUUAAUUAUACUCUCAUCUGCAUUCUCUCCUUUCUUCUUUAGGAUUUUUUCCUCUAGCUUCCCAUGGUCACUGAUCUUGAACCCAUUUUCUUUCCCAACAUGAGCACGGAAGCUAGAGGUGUCACUCUGAACACUGCUUUAGCAGCACUGCACACAUUCUAUAGGGUGAGUUUUCAUUUGCUUUGAAUUACUUUCUAGUAAAAUCCCAUUUGGAGGGACAAUUAGGAGGUGGAAGCAAAGGCCUGGCCUGGGCUGGGGGAGUGAGCAGUGGAAGAUGUCUCCCUGUUUCUGGUUUGAUUCCCAGGGCAGCCGCCAGGCUCAUCACUGAAACCAGGGAAAGGUUUGGAGCUGAUGCAUUCUGGCUUGUUCAUGCUCAAGGAGGGGCCAUGGCAUCUGUGCAGAGUGCCUUGCUCCUGGAUAUGCAGGCCUGAUACUCAGAGGAGAGGUUCUAGGUUGACACCUGCCGGGCUUCACGGUCCUGUGUUGGGGGUUCAAACCAAGGGCUGGCUGAACAAAAGACUGAGAAAGAUAACAGGAUUAGCAGUGUGAGGAGAAAGCGAACUGGGUAGGGCACCUCUGGAUGUUCCCCAGCCUGCCUGCUCUGAGUCCCACUGGACCAGCCUGAGGCUAGUCUCAAUUGAGAAGGGCUGUAUGAGAAUGCUGCACACUGCCUUUCCAAGACUUGGUACGAAAAUAAAGCAGAAUAUUCCACUGACAAUUUUCAUAUUGAAUACAGCUGCCCCUCAGUAUCCAUGGGGGAUUGGAUGCUCAAGUCCCUUGUAUAAAAUGACGUGGCCCCACUAGCCCUCUGCACCCACAGAUACACAUAGUUAUUGGUAUAUGGAGUCAAAAUACAUCAGGAUUCAAUUUGCCUCUCCUUUUCAUGUUCCUAAUGUGGCUCACAUCACAGUCCUAUCAAAGAGCACUGCUCUAAGCUUUGCAGGCAUGGUCAGAACCUGCCUUUUAACAAGACCCCUGGGACCCCUCCCAGGGUUUGGGCUGGUGCCCCCUUCAGUCUCAGCUGCACCACCCCCUGCCAGCCCCAUCUCACCCUGGGACAGGUUUUUUGCCAAGCCCCCAGGCAAGGGCAGAUGGGCAGACAUGGCCAUUGUCUUCCUUAGACACCCCACCCCCACCUUUGGUGAGCCACUAGGAAUAAAUGUUUUUCGGUCAUUGCCACCUCUGGCUGCAGGAGGAGGGCCAGCUGGCUUUGUGGCCCAGCCAAACGCGAAUGCAGACGUUGCACAAUGCACACCUGCCUCUUCUAAUGUACUAAGGGACUGAGUCACAUUCUGUGCCUGCUACAACAGAGACUCCAUGGGUAGAGAUGACCCGCCUUGCUCAGGAAGCAGUGACUUAGGUGUUGAUGAAGUCCUCAUGCUAGGAAUGGCUGGUCCAGGGGCUCAUCCUCCCAGGGCAUCUCCAUCAUGGAGGAGCAGAGCUUGUUGGGAGUGAGUGGAUGUUCACCUGGGGAGCACUUCUGCGCUCAGGAGAGAUGCGCGAGUACAUACGUGACAUAUGGGAGACAGGUGCAUGGUGACAGACAAGCUGUCUUCCCCAGGAAUCUGCCAGCCUGAACCAGGCAUCCCGGGUGGACACUGCAUGUGGCGCGCUAACCCCCUUCAAGGACAGGGAACCUGUCGCCUCAUCAGGGUUCAUCUGCCCAUCCCACCGUGCCCCUCCCAAAGGGCUGCCCCGCCAUUCACUGAGGGGUCCC